CCUACGGGAGGCAGCAGUGAGGAAUAUUGGUCAAUGGACGAGAGUCUGAACCAGCCAAGUAGCGUGAAGGAUGACUGCCCUAUGGGUUGUAAACUUCUUUUAUAUGGGAAUAAAAUGUUCCACGUGUGGGAUUUUGUAUGUACCAUAUGAAUAAGGAUCGGCUAACUCCGUGCCAGCAGCCGCGGUACUACGGAGGAUCCGAGCGUUAUCCGGAUUUAUUGGGUUUAAAGGGAGCGUAGGUGGAUUGUUAAGUCAGUUGUGAAAGUUUGCGGCUCAACCGUAAAAUUGCAGUUGAAACUGGCAGUCUUGAGUACAGUAGAGGUGGGCGGAAUUCGUGGUGUAGCGGUGAAAUGCUUAGAUAUCACGAAGAACUCCGAUUGCGAAGGCAGUUCACUGGACCGCAACUGACACUGAGGCUCGAAAGUGUGGGUAUCAAACAGGAUUAGAUACCCGAGUAGUC
Molecule: ribosomal RNA, 460 nt
Filed under: uncultured bacterium
Lineage: Bacteria
Description: partial 16S ribosomal RNA
Rfam family: Bacterial small subunit ribosomal RNA
Source: RNAcentral